AAGCAGACGAAUUGACUCGUUUGACGCCCACGGCCUAACCAUGGAGGAUAAUGGAAGAUUAGUUAACAACAGUGAAACUGCAGCUACUGGCAAUAAGUGUUUAUCUACAGAAACAAUUCUUUCAUCGAUAUCAAACGAGGCACCAGCUCAACAUGAUGUGGCAUGCCUUCCUGAGCAUGCUAGAAUGCUUGCUAAUGCAACAAAAGACGCU
This is a long non-coding RNA of Priapulus caudatus, 211 nucleotides long. RefSeq lists it as uncharacterized. The transcript has 3 exons. The record is from RefSeq and is a predicted model, not a curated record. Lineage: Eukaryota; Metazoa; Priapulida; Priapulimorpha; Priapulimorphida; Priapulidae.